GUAAGAUGGGCCUUGUUUCAACUUGGCCUUCUGCUGUGAUUGCAAGCUUCCUGAGGCCUCCCCAGCCAUGUGGAACUGUAAGACGCCUUGGAUUGCUUCUCAUUCCCGACAUAUAUUUGGUUGGCAAGUCCCGGCAUUUACACUUCAGAAAUAACUCAGUGCGUGACUUACUGGCAGCUAUGGGUCCUGGCCACUGCCCAGCAUUGCGGAAGCAUAUCUUCCCCAGCUUCUUCAGCCCAGAAAAUGAUCAAAAUUCAAAAUUCCAACUACAUUUCUACUGAGUGUGUAUCCUUUUGCCCUACUGUAAAAUCAAAACAUCUUAAACAAUCAUUAGGGUUCCUUCUAUUGUUCACACAGGUCAGCUUUCCAAGGGAGAAGGCAGGUUAGAAAAGGAUGAGAAAUGGAUUUGGAGGGUUUGACAAACUUAUUGGGGACAUAUUUAAAGGGCCACAGAAGACUUGUACAGUGAGGCUAUAAAGGAGACACAGUGUUUACUAUACUUACUUGACUAGGUAGUUCUAGGUAGCUUCAACAGCUUUACAAUUCAUUUGCUUUUGAUAAUUGUCUCUGGUGUUGCUGGUUGACAUCUUCUAUUGUGUAUGGACAAUGAUCAUCUAUAAUAUCAGGGUAGUCUCAGGCCUCUAACUAAAAAUGAGGAACAUAGUAUUCUGUGAAUAUAAGCCUGGGAAGGAUUAUCCUGCUCGAACAUAUGGGCUUCAAAGAAUAUGCUGUACAGCCGCCCCUGGUAUCUGAGGCAGACUGGUUCCAGGACCUCCAUGGAUAUCAAAAUCUGUGGAUGCUCAAGUGCCUUAGCCCUGUGGAAGCUGUGGAUACAAAAAGAUGGUUCUCUGUAUUGGGGUUGAGGGAUUGUUUCAUAUCCCCAGAUACUGGUCUGUAUUCUCCAUCUCCAGUAGGUUGAAUCCCAGAAUGCAGAACCCAUGAAUACAGAGAGCUGACUGUAUUCAAUUUUUGCACUAGAUUGUUUCAAGUUUCCUUGGACCAUGACUCUCAGAUCCAAUUUCUAGGGUCAUCACACAUUCCCUGGUCUUUCCUAACCCUGAACUUGUUAUGGAAGGAGCGUGGGUGAAGGGGUUACAACAUUCAUGUGAAAAUUUUGGUUUUGGUUCUUAGAAAAGCCAUUUAACCUUGCUUAAGAUUUAUUAAUGGGUUCCAGCCACGGGCAUUCUGACUUGGUAGGUAGAGGAUGGUUUCUGGUUGUUUACAUCUUUUUGUAAAAUUCCAUAAGUGAUUUUCAUGUGUGGUAGGGCAGUUAACAUACAGAGUUCUAUAAGGUAGAAGUGAUGGCUUUGAGGGUUCUAUAAUUCCCCCUGCCUUUUAGCCACUGUAGCUUUUUGUUGAAAUAUUGCGUGGCCUUACUUACAUUUGAGUUUUUGUGAGAAUUAUGUACUGCUAAAGAGACAAGAGAAGCUACUGGAAUUGGAGGACAGAUUUAAGAGUCUGAAUAUAUUCUUUCCCUGACAUCGUUUCCAAACUGUGUUCUGUAGGUCUCAACAGAAAUGCUUCUGGUUUUUUAUAAAUGUUUGAUUUAAAUUUCAUUUUUAUUUAUUAUUGACAAAAAUCUAUAUAUAUUUACAGAGUAUAUUAUGUGUGUUUAUGUGUAUAUGUAUGCAUGUAUAUGUAUAUAUGUAUAUUUACACAUAUGUAUGUAUAUAUAUGCAUACAUAAAUAUAUAUUGUGUAUAUAUACAUUAACAUAUAUAUAAAUACAAGUACACAUAUUUAAUGGUUUGGAGCCCUCAAUAGACAGUGCCAUUAUGCUAAAAUUCAGCUAACUACAAAUAUUGACCCAUUGGAAUAACUAGCACAUUAACUUGAACUUUAUAGUAUAUCUUUUUGGUGGGAGGGCGUGGAAGUGGAGUGAGGGCAGGUCAAUCUUAGAAAAAAAUAUCUUUCUGUACUAUUUAAAAGUUUAGUAAAUAUAUAAUUGAAUAAAAGUUUCAGUUUUUGCAUUAUUUUUAAAUUAAUCAGUCUAUUUUAAAAUUAAUUAAUACAUAUCUGCAAAAGUAAAAUAACACUAGAAAAUGUACUGUUUCCACACCUGUGAUUAGGGUAAAGAUCAAGGUCAUCUAUGCAGUGAAAGAUGUUAAUAUCAUCUGUGAAGUAACAACUAAUAUAAUUACAUCUCAUUGGGACCAUUUGUUAGCAAUAUCAAGCACUUUCUAUAGGUAAAUCAUGACUGUCUUGUUUUUAAGUAAUUCAACUUUGAAAUAAAGUUGCUCACUGAAACAUUUUUAAAGAAUUUGGAUUGGCUUAGAGUGUCCUGAGAUUAUAAAGUCAGACACUGAACAGCUGGUGUCAUUGUAAUUACUUAUUUCUGUAUGUCUGCUUUUCUUAGAGAAAUAAAAUAUUUGCCAAAGUUUAUAUGAAAACAGACAAGCAUAAUGC
Callithrix jacchus (white-tufted-ear marmoset) is the source of this 2405-nucleotide long non-coding RNA. The record is from Ensembl. Lineage: Eukaryota; Metazoa; Chordata; Mammalia; Primates; Cebidae.